GAUGAACGCUGGCGGCGUGCCUAAUACAUGCAAGUCGAGCGAACAGAUAAGGAGCUUGCUCCUUUGAAGUUAGCGGCGGACGGGUGAGUAACACGUGGGUAACCUACCUAUAAGACUGGGAUAACUUCGGGAAACCGGAGCUAAUACCGGAUAACAUUUAGAACCGCAUGGUUCUAAAGUGAAAGAUGGUUUUGCUAUCACUUAUAGAUGGACCCGCGCCGUAUUAGCUAGUUGGUAAGGUAACGGCUUACCAAGGCGACGAUACGUAGCCGACCUGAGAGGGUGAUCGGCCACACUGGAACUGAGACACGGUCCAGACUCCUACGGGAGGCAGCAGUAGGGAAUCUUCCGCAAUGGGCGAAAGCCUGACGGAGCAACGCCGCGUGAGUGAUGAAGGUUUUCGGCUCGUAAAACUCUGUUAUUAGGGAAGAACAAAUGUGUAAGUAACUGUGCACAUCUUGACGGUACCUAAUCAGAAAGCCACGGCUAACUACGUG
Molecule: ribosomal RNA, 497 nt
Filed under: uncultured bacterium
Lineage: Bacteria
Description: partial 16S ribosomal RNA
Rfam family: Bacterial small subunit ribosomal RNA
Source: RNAcentral